UCCUACGGGAGGCAGCAGUGGGGAAUAUUGGACAAUGGGGGCAACCCUGAUCCAGCAAUUCCGCGUGUGUGAAGAAGGCCUGCGGGUUGUAAAGCACUUUCAGUAGCCAAGAUGGGAUUAUUCAUUAAUACUGGAUAGUCUUGACAUUAACUACAGAAGAAGCACCGGCUAACUCCGUGCCAGCAGCCGCGGUAAU
Molecule: ribosomal RNA, 196 nt
Filed under: uncultured Gammaproteobacteria bacterium
Lineage: Bacteria; Pseudomonadati; Pseudomonadota; Gammaproteobacteria
Description: partial 16S ribosomal RNA
Rfam family: Bacterial small subunit ribosomal RNA
Source: RNAcentral